GACAGAGGGUGCAAACGUUGGUCGGAAUUACUGGGCGUAAAGCGCGUGUAGGCUGCUCAGAAAGUCGGAUGUGAAAGCCCUGGGCUCAACCUAGGAAGUGCAUUCGAAACUUCUGAGCUGGAGUUCUGGAGAGGAAGGCGGAAUUCUCGGUGUAGAGGUGAAAUUCGUAGAUAUUGAGAGGAACACCGGUGGCGAAGGCGGCCUUCUGGACAGUGACUGACGCUGAGACGCGAAAGCGUGGGGAGCAAACAGG
RNAcentral lists this ribosomal RNA (253 nucleotides) under uncultured bacterium. RNAcentral describes it as "partial 16S ribosomal RNA". It matches the Rfam family "Bacterial small subunit ribosomal RNA", at positions 524 to 776 of the family's 1533-position model. The record is from RNAcentral.